GAUGAACGCUGGCGGCGUGCCUAAUACAUGCAAGUCGAGCGAACAGAUGAGGAGCUUGCUCCUCUGACGUUAGCGGCGGACGGGUGAGUAACACGUGGAUAACCUACCUAUAAGACUGGGCUAACUUCGGGAAACCGGAGCUAAUACCGGAUAAUAUAUUGAACCGCAUGGUUCAAUAGUGACAGACGGUUUUGCUGUCACUUAUAGAUGGAUCCGCGCCGCAUUAGCUAGUUGGUAAGGUAACGGCUUACCAAGGCAACGAUGCGUAGCCGACCUGAGAGGGUGAUCGGCCACACUGGAACUGAGACACGGUCCAGACUCCUACGGGAGGCAGCAGUAGGGAAUCUUCCGCAAAGGGCGAAAGCCUGACGGAGCAACGCCGCGUGAGUGAUGAAGGUCUUCGGAUCGUAAAACUCUGUUAUUAGGGAAGAACAAAUGUGUAAGUAACUAUGCACGUCGUGACGGUACCUAAUCAGAAAGCAACGGCUAACUACGUG
RNAcentral lists this ribosomal RNA (497 nucleotides) under uncultured bacterium. Its description in RNAcentral is "partial 16S ribosomal RNA". It matches the Rfam family "Bacterial small subunit ribosomal RNA", at positions 28 to 507 of the family's 1533-position model. The record is from RNAcentral.